RNAcentral lists this ribosomal RNA (497 nucleotides) under uncultured bacterium. RNAcentral describes it as "partial 16S ribosomal RNA". It matches the Rfam family "Bacterial small subunit ribosomal RNA", at positions 28 to 507 of the family's 1533-position model. The record is from RNAcentral.
GAUGAACGCUGGCGGCGUGCCUAAUACAUGCAAGUCGAGCGAACAGACGAGGAGCUUGCUCCUCUGACGUUAGCGGCGGACGUGUGAGUAACACGUGGAUAACCUACCUAUAAGACUUGGAUAACUUCGUGAAACCGGAGCUAAUACCGGAUAAUAUAUUGAACCGCAUGGUUCAAUAGUGAAAGACGGUUUUGCUGUCACUUAUAGAUGGAUCCGCGCCGCAUUAGCUAGUUGGUAAGGUAACGGCUUACCAAGGCGACGAUGCGUAGCCGACCUGAGAGGGUGAUCGGCCACACUGGAACGGAGACACGGACCAGACACCUACGGGAGGCAGCAGUAGGGAAUAUUCCGCAAUGGGCGAAAGCAUGACGGAGCAACGCAGCGUGAGUGAUGAAGGUCUUCGGAUCGUAAAACUCUGUUAUUAGGGAAGAAAAAAUGUGUAAGUAACUAUGCACGUCUUGACGGUAACUAAUCAGAAAGCCACGGCUAACUACGUG